UUCAACUGAGAGAAUAUAAAUAAAUUGGUGUGAGCUAUAAAACUCAAUGAGUAAUCAUACAUAAUUUUAUCAGAUCAAGGAUAAUAUUUUUUAUACUAGUGCAUUAUUUUAAGAAACUAAUGGCGGUAACAAAGUAAGCACUUCAUACAACAUAUAAUCAAACCAAACGUAAAAACUUUUGUCUUUAUUCCAUGCUUUGAAAUCUGUGCUUGUAAUAAAGUAAACAUUUCAUAUAAUCCAACCAGUCAUAAAACUAUGCAAGUCCAUUAAUGCAACUUUAUAAAUAUGAUAAUACAUUAUAAAACUUUUGCCAUAAUCAAACUAGUUAUAAAACUGUGCAUGUCCAUUCAUGCAACUUCAUAAAUAUGAUUAUGCAUCAUAAAAGUUUUGCCAUUAUUCCAUACUUUAAAAUUCAUACUCUCAUAUGGUAGUAUAGCUAUGGCUGCUCUUAUUCCCACGGUUACCACUGCAGGGUCAUCUUCCAAUUACUAUUACCCACUGGCGGAGGCCGUAAAGCCAAGUUACUUUUACCCACUAGCGGGAGUCGUAUGCCUAGUUACUGUUAUCCACUGGCGGGGGUCGUGCAUAGCAAUCUGAGAGUUCUUAAAACAUAUCAUUUUUUUCAUAAAUCUUUUCUCAUAGAUACAUUGGAAAGCGAAUAAUGGCAUCAUGCUAAAUAAAACUCAUGAUCAUGCUGAAAACUUUAUUUUUCUAUGCAUCUUUCUAUAUCAUCAUAAUUAUAUGUAUAUAAUAUAAUAAUAAUCAUAAUCCAAAAUCAUGUAAUCAUUUGCUAACACAUGCUUAAUCCUAAUUUUGUGAAAACAUAAAUAAUCAUAUAUAAUUUCAUAAUCGAGUAGUCACAAGUAUUUGAUUAAAUAUAAGAUUAUAUCAGGAUUACUUUUUCCACAAUUCAUAUACACAAUUCCAAUUGCAUAAAUAAUACUUUUUCAUCUUAUAAAACAUGAUACAUGAUUCAUAAUAAGAUUAAGACAUGUUACUUACCUUAAUUUGCUCACCAAAUGCCAAUUCUCCAAUACUUAGCAAGAUCAUUAAAUUACAUGUCACUUACAUAUUUAAUUUCUAUUUAUUUAUAAUCUUAAAGUCAUUUACAGCCCAUCCAUAGGACUCAAUUUUAUUUUCGGGUCCAUAGCCUAAUUCAAUUUCUGGUUCAGGCCCAUGGCCCAAUUCAAUUUCUGGUUCUGGUCUAAUCUACUUCCUGGUUCGGAUUUGAUUCCAUUUCUGGUUCAGGUUUGGGUCAAUUGCAUACUGGUUCAGAUCUGACCCAAUUUGUGGUUCAGAUCUGGGUUAAUUGCAUUCUGGUUCAAAUCUGACCUAAUUUUGGUUCAGGUCUGGGUCAAUUGCAUUUUGGUUCAGAUCAGACCCAAUUUCUGGUUCAGGCCUGGAUUAAUUGUAUAUUGGUUCAGUUAAUUCUGAGUUUAAGAAUGUUGGGCUCGAACCAGGGCCUAGCCCGGCCUCGGGCUUCUAAAGCCAAUUUAUUUAAAGCCCACCCCGAAAUCAGGCCCAAAUCGGCCCACAACCUUUUUUUUCUCUUUUCUUUUCCUUCUUUCUUCCUGAACCUUUCUUUCUCUUUUUUUUCCGUUUCUUCCUCUCUACUCCUUCUUUCUUCUUUCCGUUCCGAUCUCCUCCCCCACCGCUUCUCCUCCUCACUUGAAGCGAGGAGGCUCGUGGAGCGCUCGGGAGGAGCUGGGUCCGAGGUCGGCGGUGCCGGCGGCCGGCCAACAUCGCACGCUGCUCGAUCUGUAGCGGCCGAUCCCCCCGUCUUCUUCAUCCUUCCUCUCUUGAGAAGGGAGGAGAGCGGCUCCCACUCACGGAAGAGGUCGGGUGCGACCAGCGGCACCCGCGGCGGCCGGCCCCCUCUGUUCCUUGGUGGAAAUGGGGGUCGAGACCACCCUCUCGAGAGGAAGGGGCCUCUGGCCCGCCGUAGUUUCGAGCGAGGGCCACUGGAGCCUGCAAUUGGAGCCGGCGGCUCCUCCCUCGUGCCCAUUGGGGUACAGGAAAUAACCCACGGUCGUGGCCAUGGAUGCGGCCACGACUACAGCCGAGCUUGCUGCGACCAAAGGAGGGGAGGAAGGGCCUCCGGCCGUCGACGGCUGCGGCUAGGCAUACCAAAUCUACUUGCAUAAUACCAUGGAAGAAGAAGUCAGGGACUCACCUAGCUCCGGGACAACUCUGUGAUGUUCCCUCCGGCGGCUCAGAUCCCCACUCUUCAGUUCCUUGUAGCAAAAAAAAAAAAAAGAGAGUGAGAAGAAAUGAGAGAGUGAUGGAGUUCCUUUGCAAGGGAUCCGUGGGCUUUAAUAACCCUCGGCCGAAAGAGAAGAGGGGUGGUGAUCAUGGCUGUUAGGCGGUUAUAACCGCCUCAACAGCUGGCGAUCAUGGUCACUAAUUUGGGUUUCCAAAUGGACCGCCGAUUAUGGCGAGGUCGGUCCAUUUGGCCGACAUUUACAGUACUCAAUGUGCAAACGUGCACAAAGUCUGCAUAGCUUUACUAGAAUAUGGCAAGCCCUAUCCACAUUAUUGAUAUCAGUUCAAAAUUUCGUAGCA
Molecule: long non-coding RNA, 2562 nt
Organism: Phoenix dactylifera (date palm)
Lineage: Eukaryota; Viridiplantae; Streptophyta; Magnoliopsida; Arecales; Arecaceae
Source: RefSeq, a predicted model, not a curated record